RNAcentral lists this ribosomal RNA (274 nucleotides) under uncultured bacterium. RNAcentral's name for it is "partial 16S ribosomal RNA". It matches the Rfam family "Archaeal small subunit ribosomal RNA", at positions 473 to 747 of the family's 1478-position model. The record is from RNAcentral.
AAACCAGCACCUCAAGUGGUCAGGAGGAUUAUUGGGCCUAAAGCAUCCGUAGCCUGUUCUAUAAGUUUCCGGUUAAAUCCACUAGCUCAACUAGUGGGCUGCCGAAAAUACUGUAGAACUAGGGAGUGGGAGAGGUAGACGGUAUUCGGUAGGAAGGGGUAAAAUCCUUUGAUCUAUUGAGGACCACCUGUGGCGAAGGCGGUCUACCAGAACACGUUCGACGGUGAGGGAUGAAAGCUUGGGGAGCAAACCGGAUUAGAAACCCGAGUAGUCC